This 433-nucleotide unclassified non-coding RNA is filed under the name Hevea brasiliensis (rubber tree). Lineage: Eukaryota; Viridiplantae; Streptophyta; Magnoliopsida; Malpighiales; Euphorbiaceae. The record is from RNAcentral.
GUAGAACUCACCUUAAAAAUCGGCUUGAAACGGGAGGGUGUUUAGGGACUUAUUAACCACUCACCAAUGUUGUUCCUUAGCAACGUAGGAUUAUAACACAAUAUCAAUCCACAAUACGCUUUGUGCAAUGACAAGGAACAAGUGAUCCAUGAUAACACCAUGGUAUUACACCUCUCCUAGACAGAAAGCAGAGGAUCAUUCUCAUUAGCUUCUUCAGUAAUCCAUCAAUGAACUUCGUCUUAUUCUUAAAUUACAGCACCAUUGUCAUGACCCUCGCUGUAGCAGUGUUGUUAAAGGCGCUGGAGGCACCAAGGCGAGUCGCCCCUCUAGCACCUCGCCUAGCACUGCCUGGCCUACCUUCAAUAAGCAAGCGCCUCUAGCAAGCGAAGCGAGGGGCUCUGAGGCGCUGAGGUGACGCCUCUUUGAAGUAAAG